RNAcentral lists this ribosomal RNA (253 nucleotides) under uncultured prokaryote. RNAcentral's name for it is "partial 16S ribosomal RNA". It matches the Rfam family "Bacterial small subunit ribosomal RNA", at positions 524 to 776 of the family's 1533-position model. The record is from RNAcentral.
UACGAGGGGGGCAAGCGUUGUUCGGAAUUAUUGGGCGUAAAGGGCGCGUAGGCGGCUCUAUAAGUAUGGUGUGAAAUCUCCCGGCUUAACUGGGAGGGUGCGCUAUAGACUGUGGGGCUAGAGGGUGGGAGAGGAAAGUGGAAUUCCUGGUGUAGCGGUGAAAUGCGUAGAUAUCAGGAAGAACACCCGUGGCUAAGGCGGCUCUCUAGUACGGUACUGACGCUGAGACGCGAAAGCGUGGGGAGCGAACAGG